UUUUUCUAUUUCUGUAUCACUCUCUCUACUAAAUCAAAGAAUCUCAAUCAUCACACCACCACCACCGGAAGUAUACCGCCGGAGAUCUUGAGAAUAUUUAGCGGUUUCCGGUAACGAGCUCACCGGAAGUAUCCCACCGGAGAUCGUGAGAAGCCCAAAUCAGUUUUAGACGGAAGAUCUCAUAUUCAACGGUUGAGUUGUAACGACCGGCGAGUAUCAUAUGCCAUUAAUACAAAUACGGCGUCAAUACAUAUUCUAGCUUUCCGGUCAGAAAAGCCCUCUUUGUCGUCUUCCAAAUCCCCCAAGAUAUUUAUUCCUACACUUUUCUCUACCUUCAUCACACUUUAAAACCCUAAAUUCUUCAAAUCCUUCACAAAUCAUGUCCUCACUCUGCGAUUUCUGCAACCAGAGAUCCGUUGUACUCUACUGCAAAGCCGAUUCAGCCAAACUUUGUUCAGAUCUGCGACAACUGCGGACUGUGGGCUCACCGGAGAAGUUCCGGCGAAAAUCGGUAACCUUCAAACGUUAGAUAGACUUUUUCUACAAGUUAAUGGCUUACUGUGUUGUUAUCAAAAGAGCUUGGAGUCCUAAAAAGUUUGAAGUCUGUGGAUAUUUCUAAUAAUAUGUUUUCCGGUGAGAUACCGGAUGAGUUUAGGGAUUUGUCAUAAGAUAUACAAAGAAUACAUUGUUUUGAAAAUUAAUAGUGAAACAUGUUGGAAGUGUUACAGUUGUGGGAGAAUAAUUUUACCGGAAGAUUUGGGGUAGAAUGAGAAGUUGCAGGUUCUUAAUUUAGAGAGAGAAAUGAGAGAGAGAGAGAGAGAGAGAGAGAGAGAGAGGUGAGAUGAAGAGAGGAGAUUAUGUUUUAUUUUUUAAUUUUUUUAAAUCAGAUUUGUUUUAUCUUACAAUCUUUUUAGGAUAAUGAGUAAAAUUACAAAAGUACCCUCAUGUAUCUUACACAUGCCAUACUUAACUAAAAAAUUUAACUAGGUUAUGGGCAAAGGAUGUAGAAUGUAAUGGUUUUUUAUAAAAAAAAGGACUGACUGUAAUUAUUGAAGUUAAAGGCUAUCCAUUGCAAUACGAUACAACCAUAAAGGACGAAAUUUGUAAUUUAUCCUUUUCCUAUUUAAAAAAGGUGAGUUUGUACAAAAACGGUCCUUGUAAUUAUAAAAGUUCAUAAGUAAAAUCAAAACUUUGUUAAUCUAUAGAUUUGGGUUUCUUAUAUUUUUAAAACUUUAAGUAAACUUGUAAAACUUAAUAAAUUCUGUUUAUAGUUUUUUAGUUAGGGUACAAAUGAAAUGGAAAUAAAAUGGGUUAAAAAAAUAGAGUGAUGGAGUAUCCUAGUUGUUACAUAAAUAAAUUCAAUUUUUCGCUCUCCACUUUAAAUGUGUACACCCUAAAGAAAAUUGAGUUUGAACAAAACACACACAGCCAACAAAGCCAUAUAGAAAAAUAAACUAAUAGUGUGAUGACAAAGCAAUGACAAAAAUCAUUUAAGGCGUCUACACAAAUUAUGGUGCAACUUUAUUGACCACGGUCUAAUGACAUGUGAAGCUAAUAAAGGGAUUGUACAAAUAGUUGGUGGGUUAACGCUUGUUUGGAAAAGGCUCGCUUGAAGUUGGUCCAGUAACAGGCCGAGUUUGGCCUGCUUAAAUUAAGGCUAUCUAAUAGUUUUUUUAUUGCUCAAAUAAAAGGCUUUCAAUUUUUGGGAUACAACUUUAGACCAUUAUCUUGUCCAAACAAAACCAAUAUAUUUGAACCAAGCUGAGCUAAAGCUUAAGUUUUUAGCUCAGUUUAAACUUCAAUUCGAUCCUAAGCUGCGCUCGACUCAUAAACAACCCUAGAUUACAAGCAGUAAUAACAACAGCCAUGCCUUAGACCAUCUACAUCACUAUGCAUGGUUUAGUGGCUUAGUGCCUUUAGCCAAUGUGGCAAUGCCCUUCCAAGGGUUUGCAAUCGACUAUUUUGACCUUGGAUGAUUUCCCUUGCACAAGGGUCGCAUCCGUUAGAGCAUUCUCAUCCAGUCCAUCAAAGUGACCCUUAUUUUUAAAAUAUUAAAAAACUUUCUAAAAACUCACUCCAACCUGUCCACUAUAACUAUACCCUACCUUUAAAUAUUAAAAAAAACUACAGUAACUUUUUAUACAUAAAAAGCUACUGUACCUCUCUAUUUCCAACAACCACAUCUCAUUUCAUCUUCUCCCGCCCCUCUCCUCCUACACGUCGAUUACCGGCAACAAAUUCAACAAAACUACUGCACUUGCAAGGUUCGGAUUUGAGGGUUUCUAUUUGAAAACACUUCCGAUUUGUAAACAUUGGCAAUGAUACGGCUUCGGUUGGAAAGUAAGGUUCCGAUAUUUUGCUAUCAGUGAAAGUGUCAACCGAUUCAUCCUUCAAAUCUCCAUCUGAAUGCUUUCUGUUUUGGAUUUCGAAGGGUUGCUGAAGAACUAAACAAGCAGAGUGUGAUUAGUUGUAAAAUUGAGGAUGGUGUUGAAAGGAGGGAGGUUCUUAAAUGCUUUGGGGCUGCCAUUAGCCUGGUUGAAAUUAAUUGCACGUUUGAUCAAAUGGUUCGUACAUUCUUUCGCAAGUUGUUGAGAUACCUAUCUUCGGAUGAUGAUAGCGAUGACGAUCUUUAUGAGGAUGUCGAAGAACAAUGUACCCGCAAACGUCGUAAAUUUAUUCGACGCAAUCAUAUUCAGGGACAUGAGCGUUUAUAUCGUGAUUAUUUUGCAUAAAAUCCGGUAUAUCCCUCGAAUCUAUUUCGACGAAGAUUUCGGAUGAGUCGUCCUCUAUUUCUCUGUAUUCUAAAUGAGGUAGUGGCUAACGAGCCAUACUUCGUCCAAAGAAGAGAUAAUAUCGGAAGACUCGGUUUAUCUUCUAUGCAAAAGAUAACAGCGGCACUUAGAAUGUUGGCCUAUGGGGUUAGUGCUGAUUUUAUGGAUGAAUGCAUACGCAUCGGUGAAAACACUGCAAUAGAGAGUCUUAAAAAAUUCUGUGAGACGAUAGUAAGUAUUUUUUUCAUCUGAAUAUCUACGGUCACCAAACACAAAUGAUGUUACCCUAUUACUUGCUGUUGCGGACCAACGAGGAUUCCCCGGAAUGCUCAGAAGCAUUGACUGCAUGCAUUGGAAGUGGAAAAAUUGUCCCACAGCCUGGAAAGGUAUGUACUCUAGCCACAUUCGUGAACCUACUAUUAUUUUGGAGGCGGUUGCUUCAUAUGAUCUUUGGAUAUGGCAUGCAUUUUUUGGUAUGCCCGGUUCACAUAACGACAUUAAUAUGUUAAAGAGAUCUUCUGUUUUCACGGAACUUGCACAAGGGCGUGCUCCACCAAUCAAUUACACAGUCAAUGGCCACGACUAUACUAUGGGGUAUUACCUUGCAGAUGGUAUUUAUCCUAUGUGGCAAACUUUUGUAAAAACGAUUCCAUCACCAAGAGGGAACAAGAAUAAACAUUUUGCAAAAGUACAAGAAUCUGCAAGAAAAGAUGUCGAGCGAGCAUUUGGUGUACUUCAACAACGAUUUGCAAUCAUUCGAGGACCUUCACGAAUGUUCAAAUUGAAGUUACUAACAAAUAUAAUGAAAACAUGUGUUAUUCUUCAUAACAUGAUCAUUGAAGACGAACGUGAUGAUGGUGAUAGUCUUAACGUUGAGUAUGAUCAACUUGACGAUGAUAUCCCUGAAUUGUCGCGCACUCAAACAAAUGAGUUUAUGGACUUCAUCCGACGUCGUCUUCAUAUUAAAGAUAGCUCGGCACAUCAUCAGCUUCAAGAAGACCUAAUUGAACAUCAAUGGCAACUCUAUUCCCAAUAAUAAACGAUGUCACACUAUAUUAGAUUGUUUUGUGAAUAUUAUGAGUUUGAUUUAGAAAUAUGUUAUGUGAUGA
Helianthus annuus (common sunflower) is the source of this 3880-nucleotide long non-coding RNA. RefSeq lists it as uncharacterized. NCBI's taxonomy places the organism in Eukaryota, Viridiplantae, Streptophyta, Magnoliopsida, Asterales, Asteraceae. The record is from RefSeq and is a predicted model, not a curated record. The transcript has 4 exons.